GAUCAUGGCUCAGGAUGAACGCUGGCGGUGUGCCUAAUACAUGCAAGUCGAUCGGGCGUAGCAAUACGUCAGAGGCGUACGGGUGAGUAACACGUAGGUAACCUACCUUUAAGACUGGGAUACCCAGACGAAAGUUUGGCUAAUACCGGAUAACAACAUUUGAGACAUCUCUUUUGUUUGAAAGGCGCUGCAAGGCGCCACUUUUAGAUGGACCUGCGUCGCAUUAGCUAGUUGGUGAGAUAAAAGCCCACCAAGGCUGGGAUGCGUAGCCGAUCUGAGAGGAUGACCGGCCACAAUGGGACUGAGACACGGCCCAUACUCCUACGGGAGGCAGCAGUAGGGAGUUUUCGGCAAUGGGGGAAACCCUGACCGAGCAACACCGCGUGAGUGAUGAAGGUCUUCGGAUCGUAAAGCUCUGUUACGAGGGACGAAUGAUCGCUUUAGGAAAUGAGAGCGGUUUGACGGUACCUCGCCAGAAAGCGACGGCUAACUACGUGCCAGCCGCUGC
Molecule: ribosomal RNA, 508 nt
Filed under: uncultured bacterium
Lineage: Bacteria
Description: bacterial SSU rRNA
Rfam family: Bacterial small subunit ribosomal RNA
Source: RNAcentral